UACGAAGGGGGCGAGCGUUGUUCGGAUUUACUGGGCGUAAAGGGCGCGCAGGCGGCGAGUUUUGUCAGGCGUGAAAGCCCCGGGCUCAACCUGGGAACUGCGCUUGAAACGGGCUUGCUAGAGAUCGGGAGAGGAGAGUGGAAUUCCCAGUGUAGAGGUGAAAUUCGUAGAUAUUGGGAAGAACACCAGUGGCGAAGGCGGCUCUCUGGACCGACACUGACGCUGAGGCGCGAAAGCGUGGGGAGCAAACAGG
RNAcentral lists this ribosomal RNA (253 nucleotides) under uncultured bacterium. RNAcentral's name for it is "partial 16S ribosomal RNA". It matches the Rfam family "Bacterial small subunit ribosomal RNA", at positions 524 to 776 of the family's 1533-position model. The record is from RNAcentral.